GGGCUUCACCUGCGGCAUAUGGAGGUUCCCAGGCUAGGGGUCAAAUCGGAGCUGCAGUGGCUGGCCUAAACCACAGCCACAGCAACACAGGAUCCCUCCACCCUCUAAACAAGACUAGGAAUCGAGCCUGCCUCCCCAUGGAUACUAGUCAGAUUUGUUUCUGCUAUACCGCAAUGGGAACUUGGCGGGUGGCAGGAAGCAGUGGGAACCCUGAAGUUCCAAAUUGAUCCUUGAGUGGGAGAGGAAGGAGCCUACUGACAGAGCAGCAAGAUGGAAAUCCCAGGGUGUCCAGCACCUGUGGGGAAGGCGUGGGGGUGGGAGAGCCCAGAGCCUCAGUUGUAGGCUUUGGACACUGUUUCCAAAAAUGUAACAGUGAAGAAUGGGAGACAUGAGCCACUCCUCAUGACUUCAGGGCCAUUAGUGGUCCCAGUCCAUUCCCACAGAGCUAUCAUGGGGUGGUGGUGGCGAGGAUUAAAAAUCCUGAGGAUGGGUCCCAGCCCCCGGGAUUCUGCCUUCAUUGGUUGGGUAUGGCUUGGGGCUGUCAGUGCUCCUAGGAGAUGCUGGGGGGGGGGGGGGGGGCAGUGGCAAAUCCCUGUCUCAGAGACCUCCUGUGUUGGCAUUUCUCCCCCUUAAAAAACAUUACACAAGGACUCUCAGGAGUUGUAGACAGGACAUGGAACUAUCAACCAAGCACCAGAGCUCUCCCCAGGUCUGGGUGAGGAGAGCUGGCCUAAGGGUCCUUGUGUGUGUGUAUUCAGUGUAUAUUUGAAUUUAGGGAUAAUUUACACAUAGUAGAAUUGAGCCUUUGCAGUUUAUGGUUUUAUGACAGUUUUGACAGAGGCACAUGAUUGUGUAACCAUCAACCACAAUCAAGACAUGGAAUAGUUCCAUCACCACAAAAGAGUCUAGAGAGAUGCCAGUGGCCUGACUGGGGGUAGAGGUUCAAAUGCUAAUCCUCCCAGCUCUCUGUCCUCUCAAAGGAGCCUGUCUCCCGUACUUUCUCCUAUUUCUGGCCCAGCAACUUUCCUAAUUGUUGGAGGCAAUAAUUCCCCCCCCCCAAACCAGCUCCGCCUUAUUAGAGCCUCUGUUGAAAAAGGCAGGUUUGCUCAAGCCACUUUUCUUGCUUCUCCUGAGACCAAUUUUCUCAACCAGUACAGCACCAACAGUCAAUACCUCCUACGAUAGCUAAGGUGACUUCUGAUGGGAGGAAAGAAUUCACCUGUUCCCCAAAGCCUCAUACAGCUGUUCCAGCUCCUGAGACAUGAUUUAAUUGGUCUGGAGGUCACAGGAUUCUCUUCCAAUUAGGGUCCCAUCCCAGCAGCUACCAUAUGCAUUAGGAACAGUCCAGACCGGGCUUUGGAGGACAGCCAUUGUCUGCCCUUCAAAGCAGCAUCAGCUCCUUAGCAGCUGCCUGGUUUCUUUCUAAAGGCAGACUUCCCUGGAGGAUGGAGCUCAUUGGUACCCCCAAGUCAAUUCUUUGGGAAUCAAGACGCAAUGAACAGAAUGAGAAUUUCUGACUCUGUCCCUCUGCCUUUUCCAGAGCAGCCAUGGUAAGGUCAUAUUGGGGUUUCUAAGGCAGGGAGGGGCCUUCGUGACCUUAUCUUUCCGAUUUUGUGCAAGGAGAACUGCCUGCCUGGGAGCCCAUCAGCAUGUCAGCCCCAUGACUCCUUCCCCUGUGAUGGUCACACCACAUGAACUCCGACCUCAGUGUCCAGGCUGGGACAAGUGUCCAGGCCCAGUGACAAGCCGAGUGGCGGGAACAUGAUGAACUGGGAGCAGUGCCUGUGUGGAAGUGUAUUUAACAAAAUGAUCCCAUGUAGGAAGGACUUGUGAACAUAUGGAGAGGCCAGGAUGGGACUUCGGCUACAUGGUGAAGUCAACAGAACUCCAGCUCCAAUAAUUCCUCCUCCACAAAUCACUCCUUGUAAAAUCCAAAAUUCUGUCUGCUGUGCUCCCGGGCCCCUUAUGACCAUACCCACCUGGGCCUCGGAAGGACUAGUUCAGGCUAAGCCUCCCAGACAGACCAGGGCUGGGGACCUGCAAAGGGAGCUGAGUGGCUUGUGCGGACCCCAACUCCACUCCUAACAAACUUGUUUCAUCUUGCUUUUUUUUGUGUGUGGCUAUGUUUCAUUUUUUAAAAGGGUAUUCUUUGAAGAGGAGUUUUAGGAUCAUAGCUAAAUUGAGGGGGAAAGUACAGCGAUUUCCCAUCUACUCCCUGCCCAUGCACUGCCUCCCCCUUUAUCAACCUCCCCCACCAAAGUGUCCAUUUAUUCCAACCGAUGAACCUGUGUUGACACAUCACAGUCACCAAAGGUCCACAGUUUACAUGAGGGCUCACUCCUGGUGGUGUACAUUAUUCGAGUCUGGACAAAGGUCUAAUGACAUGUAUCCACCAUUGUGGCAUCACACAGAGUACUUCCUCUGUGCUCCACCCAUUCACCCUACCAGCCCCCACACCCCUACCAACUCCUGGAAACCACUGGUCUUAUUAUUAUCUCCACAGUUUUGCUCUUCCAAAAGGUGAAAUAGUUGGAACCCUGAGGUAUGUAAAAUUGCCUACGGUGUGUAGCCUUUUCAAAUGGGCUUCUUUCACUUAGCAUAUGCACUUAGGCUUCCUCCACAUAUUUUAUAGCUUGGUAGCUCAUUCCUUUGUAAGUUCUGAAUAAUGCUCCAUUGUCUGGAUGUACCAAAGUUUAUUCAUCCAUUAGUUAUCCAUUCACCUCCUGAAGGACAUCUUGGUUGCUUCUAAGUUUUAGCAGUUAUGAUUAAAGCUGCUAUAAACACUGGGUGCAGGUUUUGGUGUGCACGUAACAUACUUGUUUUUCAUCAGAGCAGGAAGAGGGAGGCACUGCACCUCUCCUGCCCUACCCGAGCCCUUCUGAGACCUUCCAUGGCAGAGUUCCUGGUCACCGCAGUCACCACGGACCACUGCUUGCAGAAGAAAACUGUGUGUGCUCUCAUCAGCCUGGGGCUGCCUAAUCACCUCCUGAUUUAGAGAAUCCUUAAGUCAAAACAAGGAAUACUAGCUGAAAUCACUGUGUUGUUUGUCCACAUUUGCUUGUAAGACGGGCAGCACCCACACCCGGUGACCACCAAGCCCCCUGGGUUUCCCUGGUCUCUGCUGCUCUGCCCCCUGUAAAGCUUACCCCACCCAAACUCUGCACACCCUUCAACUGCUCAGACAACACCAAGCUGUUCCUGCGUGCCCCACCUGGAAGCAGUGCCUCCUCGCCUCACCCCCUUUCUAAUCAUCUAAGAACUGGUUAAAGACAGCAGCGAGAUUUCCCAUAUACCCCUCACCCAGGGUCCCCUGGGUUAAUAUCCCACGUUACUGUGGUGCAUUUGCCAAAACUAAGAAACCUACCUUGGUCCACAAUGAUGCACUAAACUUCACACUUCAUUCAGAUGUCCUUGAUUUUCCCUCAAGUCCUUUUUCUGUCCCAGAAUCCCCUCUAGGAUGCACAUUACCUUCAGCUGUCACUUCUCCUUAGGUGCCCCUGAUCUGUGACAGCUCCUCGACCUUUCCUUGUUUUUCAUGUUCCUGACACGUUGGAGGACUGCUGGUGAGGUAUUUUGUGCAGUGCCUCCGUUUGGGUCUGUCUGAUGCUUUUUCUCAUGCUUAGGAAGGGGAUGGGUUUCUGGGAGGAAGAGCAUAGAGGGGAAGUGCCCCCAUCCUCAUCAUUACCCCUUGCUCUUUAGUACUUACUGCCACAUUCUCCUAGCCUCUCUUCCUGCUUCUUGGGUUCCAUCUGUCCUCUACAGAGCGUGUCACAAGAAGUACCCAUCUUCUUAUACACAUGCCUGAGUGCAUGCCAUGUGCCAGGCAUCAUGCCAUCCCUGAGGGUCCUAAGAUACCACCAGAGGAUGAUUACAGUACCAAAUGCCUUUUCCUGGGUCCUUGGGUCUUGGUGACCUAAGAGAUUCAAGGACCAGGGAAGGUGUCCCACUACAUGGCGAGGUCUCGGGUCUCUCUGGCUCCUUCUGGCUCUGCUGGGUGCUGGUGGCAUCUGUUGGUGGGGUGCUUUCUGCAUACAUGUUGGGUAUGGCCCACAUGAGGUGAAUUCUGCCUCAACUUGGCCCCCUUUGUCACUGAGGAUGUCCUCAGAGAGGGUCAGCUUGGCUUCCUCUCCAAGGGGGAGUAAGAGCACCUCUUCCAUCUCCCACUGCAAAUGUGGGGUUCAGGUAGUUGGAUGAGGCAGGUGUGGGUCAGGAGGCAGUGGCUGGACUGGGUACAUCUCUUUUGUGCCCUGGGAAGAAAAGACAUCUGUCGUCUGCUAUGCCUCUUCCCUAUGUAUAACUCCAAAUAAAAAUCAUAAAGCACAAAAUUUAUAUGCAAGCUGAAAUUAUACUAACUUCUUAAUUAUCUGGUUGCCAUGGUUCUGCAUAGGUUUGUUGAAAGUAAAUUUCUCUCCUUCCCUCUAAUUUGCCUCCCUGCCUUGAAGCCCCGCUUGGGUGGGAGGUCCCCUUCAUUUCUCAGCGAUUUCCUAGCACCUCGACUCCCAGCUAUGCUCUCAUUCUCUGGCUCCUCCACAUGCCCACAGAGCCCCAUCCACCAGGUUGAGACCAGUUGUUUUUCAAAAGCCAAUUUUGUAAGAGGGCUUGGAUGGAUUCCCUUCUGAGAGCAAAGAGCAGUGCUCAGCUCCCUGCCUCCCUCACACCCAGGGUUCCUCAGCUGCAAAUGCUUCAACAAAGUCAUGCUGAGAAGCCAUAAGGAUGGCACAGUCCAUCAAGGAAACCGAGCGGCAUUCUGAACCAGCCAGAGGCCACAGUCAGCCCACAGCAUCACUUCAGCCGUGAUUCUCCUUCAUUCACACCCUCAACCACAGGGGGCAGGAGCCACUACUGCCCACUCCAGAGCCCACUGGGCACAUCUCUUCCCAACUUUAAUCAGUCACUUCAUGUCAAUAGCUUGAAAUGCACUGUGGUGGGAGUGAUUACACUACAGCCAUCAUCAAACGCUACAACCCAGGUCUCCUGCUCUGCUCAGAGCUGGGGAUCAGUUAACCAUAAACCAGCCUGCUCCCGCCUUGGGGCCAGGUUUCCUAUAGCAACAAAUCAGCACACAACCCUCUCCAAAAAGCCAGCCCACAGGAGCUCCUUUUCCUCAAAUGCUCCACAGAAACCCCCUCUUUCCGCAGAUUCUGUAACUCCAUGGUCAGACCUCCAGUGACCUCCUUCCUAGCUGCACAUUCUUGGGCAUGUCUCUGGUCUUCCCUGGCCCUGCAGUCCCCUAUGCAUGAAACAGGGACAGUAUGGUCUACCCCAACGGCAGGUGGCAUCUUAUCAGGCUUUCGAAUAGGCCUCUGCUGCUGUAAUAAGUGACCUCCUGGCACUGCUGAGUUGAUGCCUCUCUCCUGUGGAGGGAGAAGGUUCUCCUCUUUCCCACCACCAGCUCCCCAGAGAGGACUCCACAUCUGCAGGAUGAAAGUCUACUUCAUCCCUAAGGCCUACACUGGAAGCCACUUCCUUCAGGCAGCCUUCUAAGAUUCCCCAGGUUGGAAUUCAUCCCUUUCCCCACAGCUCUUCGUUCCUCCAUUUCUGCGUUUACUGCCAUGUGCUUUGCCUUGGAUAGAUCUGCCUACGAGCCCUCCGUCAGGAGGGUCAUCAGGUUUGAUCCUCACUGUGACCAUGCAAGUACCUAAGAUGCAGUCACCUUGACGUUCCCAUACUUCAGUGAGCAGGAAAGUUACUCACAGAGCUGGCUAGUCUUGUAGAUGCCCAGACCAUGGCCAGAGAUUCUGAUUCAUCAGGUCUUUGGUGGGGCCCAGAAAUCUGUAUGCUUAACAAAUAUCCCAGGGAUUUCAGAGGCACGUGGUGUGUAGACAACACUUAGACCAGGACUGCACCAUGGAAAAGCCCAUGAGCUGAACACAGGAGGGCUUUGAGACUUUGGGGUUAGGGAGAGGGGGGAGGCACUUGUCCAAGAUCACACAGCCAGAGAGUGAUAAAGCCAGGAUUCAGAACCAGCUCCAGACAGAGGUGCACCUACUCUGUACGUAUUCUUUGGGGAAGAGAACACACUGUGUGGGCCAUUUGCACAGCUCCAAACUCUAAGGUUAUACUGCUGGCCAUUAUGAUAGCUGUUCCUGUAAAGGAGCUAAACAUAUGAACACACACAUACACACCUUUAAACAGCUGUUUCUCACUCUGUCCCAGCAGACGGCCCUCCUCCUACUCAAUCAUGCUCCUCUGCUGCACUGGGAAGGUGUCAGAUAAAUUGCCAGAUGUUGCCGGCAUCACCUUUGAUGAAGCAUCAGGCCCCCAACACUGAGAAAUACAGACAUCUCAAGGUCCAAGUCUGCUUUCCCCCUUCCCAAGUCCCCAGUGAGGUGGCUUUGAUGAGGUCCUAGGAGGGGCCAGAUGUGGAAAUAAGGGAAGACCACCCAAAUGAGAACAGGCAAAGACCAUCUAUUCAGAGCUUGCUGCGUGGUGAGGGACUCGGCGCCAACGCUUGUCCUGGGCAGAGACUCACGGGCGGGCAGAGGAGCAGGAAAGCUCUGCAGGGGAGAAAGGGAAGGUCUCAGGUGUGCCCUGGCUGGAGGCGUGGGCAGGGGCAGCUGCCGGUUGGGAACUGGAAGCAGAGCAUCCUAAGGGAUUGGUAAGGGGACGCUGGCAGUUAUCAACUACAG
This 6629-nucleotide long non-coding RNA is filed under the name Sus scrofa (pig). Its description in RNAcentral is "lncRNA (ENSSSCG00025045141.1)". Lineage: Eukaryota; Metazoa; Chordata; Mammalia; Artiodactyla; Suidae. The record is from RNAcentral.